AGGUGCCCUGGAACUAGCCUAUCUUUAGUCCUCUUUAUGACUUGAUGAAGUCAGUAAGAAGAUUUUUGACUGUUGGUUAAUCUUUUCUUCUUUUUUUUUUUAAAUAAUUAACUAAAUCUUCUAAAUUAUUAGGUCCUUAAAAUGAUAAUAUUAAGGAGAUAACAAAGCCAUAGCCUCCCAUUAAGGUGAAUGAUAAUCAG
This 200-nucleotide long non-coding RNA is filed under the name Elaeis guineensis (African oil palm). RNAcentral's name for it is "long non-coding RNA (EGUI_LNC032609)". Lineage: Eukaryota; Viridiplantae; Streptophyta; Magnoliopsida; Arecales; Arecaceae. The record is from RNAcentral.